UCUGGAGAAACUGCAGCGGCUGAGUCAGCCGGCUGCUCUCGAAACGCUAUCGCGGUACUUUGAUGCCACAUGUGACAGUGACGUGGCGUCGGCGCUGGUUCAAGUCGGACAAAUUUUCUAACCGGCAUGCACUGCUUCAAGUCAGCCGCCGAUCGGUUCUCAUGGCGCCGCAUGAAGUCGAACACACCUAAAACCUUGAAGUGGGCGGAGCUGAACCGGAACUUCGUACAGUUAUACUUGAUAAGACCGUUAUGUCUAUGGUUUUACAGAACAAAUAUGCCGUGUUUAACUAAAAUAUAUAUAUAUUUAUAUUAUAACAUUUAUUUAAAUAUCUUCAAACAGUCGGAGCCGAUCAGUGCUUCAAGAUGUAGUGCGGUUGUGCCUCGGGGAAUGCGAGUUGAAGUACCAUUUUGGGGACCUUUCGUGAUCCGAUAAAAAAAUAUUUAAGUAUCUUCUAAUUAAAACAGUAGGGUUCGUAUGCAGUUUAGAAACAUGGAAAUUGAUUUAAGUAAUUUCCAGGAAAUGCAUGGAAAAAGGCAAGUGAAAUACUGCUAUUUUAUUUGCGCUUAUUUCAUUUAAAGAUUUUAGGCUAUACACAUUUGUUCUGCGUUGUCAUUUUGGAGGUUUAUGAUUUCCUUUGGCUCCUGCCCAGUUAAAACCGAUCUUGCAGGUCUGGAAAACUUUGGGAAAAAAUAUGGAAAAAUAUUUGUUUUUCGACUAUUUGCCCUAUUCAGUGUUCUAAAAUAUAAAAUUAAUUUCUAAAAAAUAAAUUGAUCAUAAUCUUUCAUGACAAACGUUUAGUAAUCAUCUGAAUAGGACUGAAUUAAUUCAAGGCACAUUUUUUUCAUUACGCGGAAGUCACGGUUCAUGGGCUCACGGUCUCAUCCUAGCUCUGUUUGUGUGUGUGCGUGUGGGUGUGUCUGAUUGAGGCUGAUUCUCUCCAGCUAUCGCGUUUUUUGGGUGGCACGCCACCAGCGGUUUGCCGCGGCUGGGCCUCCGUCGGUGCACCAGUGGCAAGCGUUCUGUCCCGUGUUUCUACUGAGCUCUUACAUGACAUCUUUGUUAAUAUAUUACAUUUAUGUUUUACAUUACAUUUUUACAGUUAGAAGGAAUCUGAAGCACUGAAUAAAAAUAGUGAGUUAUAAUUAUUAACAAAAGUUUAGUAUAAAAACUGCAAGCACAUUUUUAAAUGAAAUAAAUAGUUUGAAUGAUCUUAAAAACAACAAUACAAAAUCUAAUUAAAAAAAAAGCAAAAAAAAAAAAAAAAAAAAUCUAUAAAAAUGAAAUAAAAAUAAAAGUGCUACUUUGUCCCACUAUCACAUGCCGGUUGCAGUUUACACCUAUGUAUGAAUGGGUCAUAUAACUACAAAACGAUUAAAAUUCAAAAUUAAAUCUUUUUUAUUGUUGUUGUUUAUGUUCUAUAUAAUGUUUAUUUAAAUGAUGUGUGACGUGUUUUGAUGGACGCGCGCUAUGAGUUUCAUCAUUCAAACGCUGCAGCGAGGGAGUUACCAUGGAAACGAGGCUGCAACUCUCAAACUGACAGCUGCAACACUGCGUCUCUCGCUGCUGUUUUCACCGUUUUCAGGAGUAACACUUCUACAACAGAAGAGAAGCUCCAAGAUAUCUAAAUUUCUGAAGGAAGCUGCUGACAGAGAUGUGGCAAACAUAGGUUUCCCAUCCCAGUGUUACUACAGCUUGGAUCUAGCCUCACUUGUGGUGACUUCAGAUGAUGGCAACACUCAUGAAGACCCCAGAUGAUGGCAACUACAGAUGAACAUACCAACCUGACAAAUGUUAUGUAUUGCCUUAAAGCAUACGCUGAGUGAUUUUCAACCCACUUUGUAUUGUUACUAUGAAUAUAUGUGAACGAACAAUGUUUAAUCUUUCUCUGAGUUCCAUGAGAUAUACCUAUUUAUUUGUCAGCCAAAUAAUAUUUUGCAUUAUCCGAAUAUUGUUUAUUUACAUAUUACAGACAUUGUGGCAGUAUAAAGUGGAUUUAAAUUCACCAAACUUACCCUUUAAUGUUUGUCUGCUUAACUGAACAUGACUUUGAACACAUAACUUGUAUUAUCUUAGAGUUAUUGACAUAUAGACAUUAAUUUGUUGCCAGAAGAUGCUCCCCAUUGAGUCAGUCACCUCAGGCUGUUGAUAGGAUUUUUUUUUUGAAACCUUGAAAUUUUCUAAAGCUGCUUUGAUUGUGAAAAGCAGUGUACCCUUACAACAGUUAACCAUGUUUUUACUAUGGCAAAACUAGUAAUCAUAACUAGUAAUCAGGGUUUUUUAGUUUUUCUCAAACUAAGGUUUUGAUAUCGUGGUUCUACUAAAGUAAUAUUUUAGUAAUGCUGGAGUAAAACUGUGGUAACCAUAGUUUUUGAAACCAUGGUGAAGUUUGUAGUUACUAUAGUAGUUACGGAAAAGCGGAGGCUGCCGCUGGUGGUCCGCUUGAAAAACGAUGAGCAAAACGCCUGUGAACCGCGGGUGGCGUCCGCCGGUGGGCCGCCGACUCUGCCACCAGUGGGCCGCCAGUGGCCCGCUAGUCUUAUGUUAGCUGGGAUGUGGUGCACAACCUACUUCCUUCACUUUGUGAUAUCUAGACGUGAUUUUCAAUAAACCGCUCCUGUUUCCGCGCUUUGAAUCCACCAGUCUUUAUGACAGCGGAACUCUUUAAGCAGUCUUUUUUUUUGAACUUCACUAAACAAAUGUGUGUGUGCCAUGCAAACCAGCAAAAGAUAAAGAAGCAAACAUGUAGGCCUAGUAGAAAAUGUAUCUGUAUCUAAGCUGAUUAUUGACAGCGAGCUGGUUUGGUUUUUGAGAGACUGAGAUGCGCAACACGGCUGUUUGAUUGGUGAUCGCGCUGUGCUUAUUUAAUUCAUUCGUGUAUCAUAUCAUAGUCUAUAAAGUUUAAAUCAUUGCCUUUUAAAUAUACACAAAUAGUAGAACGUGUAUGAUGUAUUAUUUUAGUUGAUAUUACUCUUGCCAAGCUCUGAUUUCUGAGAGAUGCAUGGCAACAGCAAUGACGUGUUUGAUUUGCGUUCUUUUAGUUCAUAAAAUGUAUUCAUUCACUUCACACACUCAUUAUUGUGCAACUUUAGAGGUUUGUGUAAAAUAUCGCGCUGAUCCUCUGGCUUACCUGUUACCUAGCAAACACCAGACUGCGCUGCAGCCUCAGCUGAAUAUUCGGGCAGAAUUAUUCGUUAUUCGUUUUUGAAGCCAUUAUCCGUGCCUUUCGGAAUAAGGUAUUCGGCUUCGGGCACACCCCUAAUCAAGAUAGACAUCCACGGGAGGACCCAUCUGCCAUAUUAUCCCUUAUGAAAAUGAACCAUGGUUUUUUUAUAGUAACCAUGGUUUAACUAUGGUUUUUGUAGUAAAACCAUAGUAACUACAAAAUAAACCAUGGUUUUAGCACAGUAACCAUAAGCCGCUUUUCCACUAUCGGGCCGAAUGGUUGGUUAUCUUUGCUUAACCGUUCCCUUCCGUGCCGAUCCGGGCCAGUCAGCACGGAUACGGUUUCAUUUUCCACUGCGGGGCUGAUAACUGAUCUCUUUGGAAUGCAAUUCAAAUGUGUCAGUCGUUGCCGUGGUAACACAAGUGUUUACAUAUGACUUGAGGUGUAAAUAACCACCGCGUUAUGGCGGAUGAUCAGAAAUAGAUUUUAUUACUAAUUUGUGUUUACAUUGCUCAAAAUAGCGCGCUUAGCAAGCUCUCGCGCAGUACUCAAACAGUGACGCGCGACGCGCUGCUGGUUUAAAUGUUAAUUUGUCCUGUGCCCUCUUUCAAUAAAUCACAUUCUCAGUCAUUCCCAAACAUGUAAUUAACAAUGAUCACCAUUUGCUAAGCAAACUAUUUGGUUUUGGGUUUGUCGUUCUUGGAACCUGGUCUAUAAGACAAUACAAAAUUGAAACGGCCAAAAAAUAAAGCCCAGCAGGCCUGUCUGGCGUUUAAUGGUGUUAAUGGUGUUUUUUACAUGCAUGCUUUUUAUGCUAGUUUAAUUCUCAAAUAGAUCUGAUACUUUAGUUUCAACAAAUCUUUAACCAUCUGGGGUCGACAAACGCGGAUACGUGUUUUGAGGCAGAUUUUCCUGAUAAGGCCGAAAUGAGCUUGAAUUACUCUGCCAUUUUUGAUCGUACAGAUAAGAGCAAUACACCAUUUGAAUCUGUAAGGGGUCUACUUGUAUUUGUAUACACUCAUAAUAACAACUAAACUUUGUGCUUUUGAAUAAUAAAGAAAACAAACAGGGUGCGUUCUCAGUAGAGAUCAACCGAUAUAUCGAUUUACAGAUAUUUUCCCGAUAUUUAAGCAUUUUUCCAUAAUCGGAGAUUGGUUUUGUGAUAUCGGAUUCACCGAUAAACAGCGCCAUCCUGUGGGGGUUUUGAGAAUUGCACACAGGAUCGCCAUUGCAGCAGUCUGAGGGGAGACGAGACAACAACAGAGUGCAGAGGUACUUGAUUUGCUGUAGUUAGUAAACUUUAUUUAACAUUACAGUCAUGAAUGCACAAAUUACAUGUUUUACAUAAAUGCCUGAUAUGUAGGCCUAGUUUAUGCAGCUUGUCUCUAAGAAAUAGAGACGAACUCACAGACUCACAUAAAAUAAUCCGUCAGUCUGUCCCGAUAAAGACAUAACUUCGCCUGAAUUAAAUAAUAUGCAGCCAUGAAAGAGCGCAUGUUGGAAAUAAAAGCGCUGAAUUUAAUUAUCUCUCUGUUGUAUAUGCUCAUCAUUAGUCUUGUGAAGCUGCUUUCAUAUUGCUGUGCACUCAGCUGGUUGAUACUCAGGAAAUGCUCCAGCACGGAGCAACCCGCAUGUAACUUUUAAGAAGAUUCACCCUAAAUUAUAUUAACAUUUACUAUAUAACCAUUAUUUCGCUAAUAAACAUCUAAAUAAAUAACUCUAUGGAAACCAAUUAUUUAUUAUCUCCGCGAUCGAUCGCAGUUUGAGUUGCCUAUAGUACCGUGUAAAUGCAUAAACCGCACUGUCAGCAGGCAUUUCAUAAUCUAGAUUCUAGAAUGACAAAAACAUUAUU
Molecule: long non-coding RNA, 5018 nt
Organism: Onychostoma macrolepis
Lineage: Eukaryota; Metazoa; Chordata; Actinopteri; Cypriniformes; Cyprinidae
Exons: 3
Source: RefSeq, a predicted model, not a curated record